CGGGACGGGUGAGUAACGCGUGGGUAACCGUGCCUCACACAGGGGGAUAACAGUUGGAAACGGCUGCUAAUACCGCAUAAGCGCACAGUACCGCAUGGUACAGUGUGAAAAACUCCGGUGGUGUGAGAUGGACCCGCGUCUGAUUAGCUAGUUGGCAGGGCAACGGCCUACCAAGGCGACGAUCAGUAGCCGACCUGAGAGGGUGACCGGCCACAUUGGGACUGAGACACGGCCCAA
RNAcentral lists this ribosomal RNA (237 nucleotides) under uncultured bacterium. RNAcentral's name for it is "partial 16S ribosomal RNA". It matches the Rfam family "Bacterial small subunit ribosomal RNA", at positions 100 to 334 of the family's 1533-position model. The record is from RNAcentral.